Molecule: ribosomal RNA, 669 nt
Filed under: Streptomyces sp. 358(2010)
Lineage: Bacteria; Bacillati; Actinomycetota; Actinomycetes; Kitasatosporales; Streptomycetaceae
Description: bacterial SSU rRNA
Rfam family: Bacterial small subunit ribosomal RNA
Source: RNAcentral
GUGGAUUAGUGGCGAACGGGUGAGUAACACGUGGGCAAUCUGCCCUGCACUCUGGGACAAGCCCUGGAAACGGGGUCUAAUACCGGAUGACACCCCCUCUCGCAUGGGAGGGGGUUGAAAGCUCCGGCGGUGCAGGAUGAGCCCGCGGCCUAUCAGCUUGUUGGUGAGGUAGAAGCUCACCAAGGCGACGACGGGUAGCCGGCCUGAGAGGGCGACCGGCCACACUGGGACUGAGACACGGCCCAGACUNNUACGGGAGGCAGCAGUGGGGAAUAUUGCACAAUGGGCGAAAGCCUGAUGCAGCGACGCCGCGUGAGGGAUGACGGCCUUCGGGUUGUAAACCUCUUUCAGCAGGGAAGAAGCGAAAGUGACGGUACCUGCAGAAGAAGCGCCGGCUAACUACGUGCCAGCAGCCGCGGUAAUACGUAGGGCGCAAGCGUUGUCCGGAAUUAUUGGGCGUAAAGAGCUCGUAGGCGGCUUGUCACGUCGGUUGUGAAAGCCCGGGGCUUAACCCCGGGUCUGCAGUCGAUACGGGCAGGCUAGAGUGUGGUAGGGGAGAUCGGAAUUCCUGGUGUAGCGGUGAAAUGCGCAGAUAUCAGGAGGAACACCGGUGGCGAAGGCGGAUCUCUGGGCCAUUACUGACGCUGAGGAGCGAAAGCGUGGGGAGCG